This 399-nucleotide ribosomal RNA is filed under the name uncultured Glomeromycotina. RNAcentral's name for it is "SSU rRNA". It matches the Rfam family "Eukaryotic small subunit ribosomal RNA", at positions 569 to 973 of the family's 1831-position model. The record is from RNAcentral. Lineage: Eukaryota; Fungi; Glomeromycota.
AGCAGCCGCGGUAAUUCCAGCUCCAAUAGCGUAUAUUAAAGUUGUUGCAGUUAAAAAGCUCGUAGUUGAGUUUCGGGGUCAGUAGGUUGGUCAUGCCACUGGUAUGUACUGGUCUCACUGAUUCCUCCUUCCUGAUGAACUGUAAUGCCAUUAAUUUGGUGUUGCAGGGAAUCUGGACUGUUACUUUGAAAAAUUAGAGUGUUUAAAGCAGGCUAACGCCUGAAUACAUUAGCAUGGAAUAAUGAAAUAGGACGUUCGAUCCUAUUUUGUUGGUUUCUAGGAUUGACGUAAUGAUUAAUAGGGAUAGUUGGGGGCAUUAGUAUUCAAUUGUCAGAGGUGAAAUUCUUGGAUUUAUUGAAGACUAACUACUGCGAAAGCAUUUGCCAAGGAUGUUUUCAU